UACGAAGGGGGCUAGCGUUGCUCGGAAUCACUGGGCGUAAAGCGCACGUAGGCGGACUUUUAAGUCAGGGGGUGAAAUCCUGGAGCUCAACUCCAGAACUGCCUUUGAUACUGGAAGUCUUGAGUUCGAGAGAGGUGAGUGGAACUGCGAGUGUAGAGGUGAAAUUCGUAGAUAUUCGCAAGAACACCAGUGGCGAAGGCGGCUCACUGGCUCGAUACUGACGCUGAGGUGCGAAAGUGUGGGGAGCAAACAGG
This 254-nucleotide ribosomal RNA is filed under the name uncultured bacterium. RNAcentral's name for it is "partial 16S ribosomal RNA". It matches the Rfam family "Bacterial small subunit ribosomal RNA", at positions 524 to 776 of the family's 1533-position model. The record is from RNAcentral.